CAGGAGGCCAAGGGUACUGGAGGCACAGACGGGGGCCCGUGGGGGCAGGACAGCAGCCUCCCCGAGGCACAUGGCUGAGUGCUGAGCUGGGAAGGCACCAUCGUAAUGCCCUGGAGGGCCAGACUUGAAAUGAGAACUCUUACAAAACCACACCAGAGCACAGCCCACCUCCCUUCUCUUCCCUGACUGUGCCCCCCAGCAGAGGACCCUGGCCCACAGCCAAGCCACAUCCAUGCCACUCCUGCGAACAGCCACUUCCAGUGUUCACAGCCCCUAGGAUCCCUUUACAGUUUCUGAGCACAAGACUCCAACUUGCCCGCGUGAUUUCACUCUCUACAGCCAGCGGCCGCACCUUUUGUCAGAGGCCUGCCCGGGCUGCUGGAAACUGCUUUGGCUGUGAGUGCUGAGGGCUGGCAGUGCCUUGAACCAAUGACUGACAGGUGAAAAAUGAGUAUAUACAUGUACCUAUAUGGUUCCCUCUAUAGCUGUUACACACUUCAUUGAGAUACUGCAUGUAAAGUAUCCAGCACAUGAUAAGAGGUCAAGAACUUACUAGUAUUUGUCCUCUUGGAGCAGGUGUGCCUGCCACAAUCUGACAGCCUAUGUUCAAUUAUCUGAGGUUCCCUGCCAGUUCCUCACUCCCUCUGUGGGGAGUGGCCUUUCCCCCAAGAGGUUUGCACUGA
This 683-nucleotide long non-coding RNA is filed under the name Homo sapiens (human). Its description in RNAcentral is "HSALNT0382188". Lineage: Eukaryota; Metazoa; Chordata; Mammalia; Primates; Hominidae. The record is from RNAcentral.